UUAAGCAAAUUACUAUGCUUGAUAUUUUGAAUAUGUUAUUAUUCCACUAUGCUUAUUAUUUUUAAUAUUUUAUUAGAAUAGUAUCCCAAGUUUUUCCUAUAAAUAGCCCUUCCAAAACUCAUCUUGAAAUCACAAAAACCUCAUUUUCCUUUCUCUUACUAUACCCAAAAAUCUUCUUAACAUCCUUCUAAAGUUCUAAACCUCGGAGAUCUAGGCGAAGUUCUGUCCAUAACGCUAGCCUACGAAAACCUUUUAGGAAGCUAACAAUUUCGGUUGUUUUAUCAAGACGCAAGGUAAGAGGCCCCAAAUAUAAAUCGUUGAUGAGUAUACGUGGAGCCAACAUGACUGUACAUAUGGGGCUGACCUGAAGGGAGUGGAGUUCUGCUAUGCUAUUUCAUAAAUAAACAAGAAACUUGGUUUUAUUAUAUUUCA
Humulus lupulus (European hop) is the source of this 432-nucleotide long non-coding RNA. RefSeq lists it as uncharacterized. The record is from RefSeq and is a predicted model, not a curated record. Lineage: Eukaryota; Viridiplantae; Streptophyta; Magnoliopsida; Rosales; Cannabaceae. The transcript is spliced from 3 exons.